GACAACGUGGCCGAGUGGUUUAAGGCGUUCGCCUGCUAAGCGGAUUCCCUUGGGAGCGCAGGUUCGAAUCCUGCCGUUGUCG
RNAcentral lists this transfer RNA (82 nucleotides) under Schizosaccharomyces japonicus yFS275. RNAcentral describes it as "tRNA-Ser (GCT) (tRNA-Ser-GCT-2-1, tRNA-Ser-GCT-2-2)". It matches the Rfam family "tRNA". Rfam says of the family: Transfer RNA (tRNA) molecules are approximately 80 nucleotides in length. Their secondary structure includes four short double-helical elements and three loops (D, anti-codon, and T loops). Further hydrogen bonds mediate the characteristic L-shaped molecular structure. tRNAs have two regions of fundamental functional importance: the anti-codon, which is responsible for specific mRNA codon recognition, and the 3' end, to which the tRNAs corresponding amino acid is attached (by aminoacyl-tRNA synthetases). tRNAs cope with the degeneracy of the genetic code in two manners: having more than one tRNA (with a specific anti-codon) for a particular amino acid; and 'wobble' base-pairing, i.e. permitting non-standard base-pairing at the 3rd anti-codon position. Lineage: Eukaryota; Fungi; Ascomycota; Schizosaccharomycetes; Schizosaccharomycetales; Schizosaccharomycetaceae. The record is from RNAcentral.